Molecule: long non-coding RNA, 1082 nt
Filed under: Anser brachyrhynchus (Pink-footed goose)
Lineage: Eukaryota; Metazoa; Chordata; Aves; Anseriformes; Anatidae
Description: lncRNA (ENSABRG00000019357.1)
Source: RNAcentral
GCUUUCCUUGGAAAAAAAAAAUAAAACAAAAAUGAAAGUUUUAUAAAAAGACAGCCUGGAUCAAUAGUGUGAUUAUCUUUUAAAACACACAACGAAGGAGACUUUUCUGCAUCAAUGGUAAACUCUUACACUGCUGCUAAAGUAUUUCUAAGAUCACAUUUUAGGUCAAGUCAGACUACGCCCCAGUAUACUAAGUUAAGCUGGUGCAUAGAACUCUGCAAGGUCAGUACUUCAGUUGUUAGGGGUUGCAGUCAAGACAGCAAACAGAGAGGAGAGGAGAGGAAAAGUAUGAAUUAGGGCACAGCUUUCAAAGUUAUUCAGUGAUGCAGCUGAUGUAAUGCAGCUGAACAACCUGAUGACUUCCUGUGGGCAUUAAGGGCCUGGGAGAGGUGUCUGAAUAACCUGGAGGAAAAGUCACUGUCAGCAGGGCCUGUCAGGUGUUUUGUUUUUGUCUUUGAUUGUUUGUUUGUUUUAAAUUAAUGCUAAAUCACAAUCAAUUAUGUCAAGCUCACAACUGGGUGAAAAUGAUGAUCAGCCUCUCCCAGAAAAGGGUAGGACACACAAUGGGGAGAGAGCAUGAGGCAGGGGCUGUUCAAAAUAGGUACAGACCUGGAACAUCAAUUUGCCAAGUUAUUUGCAGAGGUCACUCUGAAGCAUGUUGCCCUCCUGUGCUGUGUAAACCUGCAAAAAAGCAGAGCAGGCCAUGUUACAGUGCUGAGGCACUAUAGGCACUAAGGCCCUGAGGCUGCACUGCAGGCAGCAUAAAACCACUCUCCAUUCUUCUUUUUCUAUGUAAUAACUCCAUAUUUCUCUUUCUAUGUAAUAACUCAUGCUUCUUUAAAGUAUUUAUAUAUUAAAAGAAACUCAUCUGAACUAUGAUUGCUCUGUUCCCCUAUUCCAUUUUAUUUAGAACCACUCAAGAUUUAUCAAAUUAUGGCUGAAAUUCUCAGCUGACUAUUCAUUGCAUCACAUAUUUCAUGUGCAUGGAUCUGCAAUACGCAGAUGCAGUGGUCUAGAUUUUAUCUGCUUUAUAUUCACAUCUUCUCCCAUAGAUCCCCUCACACUGCUGAAUUUUGCUGCCA